This 266-nucleotide ribosomal RNA is filed under the name uncultured archaeon. Its description in RNAcentral is "partial 16S ribosomal RNA". It matches the Rfam family "Archaeal small subunit ribosomal RNA", at positions 718 to 982 of the family's 1478-position model. The record is from RNAcentral.
AGUCACUGACAUUAGAUACCCCGGUAGUCCAGGGUGUAAACGCUGCAGACUUGGUGUUGGGAACCCUUCGGGGGUGCUCAGUGCCGGAGAGAAGUUGUUAAGUCUGCUACUUGGGGAGUACGUCCGCAAAGGAUGAAACUUAAAGGAAUUGGCGGGGGAGCACCGCAACGGGAGGAGCGUGCGGUUUAAUUGGAUUCAACGCCGAAAAACUCACCAGCAGCGACUGUUACAUGAAAGUCAGGUUGAUGACCUUACUAGAUUUUCAG